Molecule: long non-coding RNA, 704 nt
Organism: Stomoxys calcitrans (stable fly)
Lineage: Eukaryota; Metazoa; Arthropoda; Insecta; Diptera; Muscidae
Exons: 2
Source: RefSeq, a predicted model, not a curated record
ACAACCGGCUGCCAUGGGAUUGGGUUAACAUAGUUAACAUUUUAAGCAACAUUCGAUAUUUGGCCAAAAUAUUUUUCUUACAAAAAUUUUGUUUCUUAAAACUUGUUUUCUGAGAAGUCUAUGUAGACUUUUCUGUGCCACUGUAUACACUCUAGAAGCACCUGUAUCCCAGUGCUCUAGCUCAAUCCGUAAAGAAAGUACCAUUUUGUACCUUUUAGUACCUUAGAAUAGGAUUUUCAAAAAAAAUCUAAUCGCCCAAUAAUUGUAUCACAAUUUUGAGAGCUUUAACCAAACCAUUUACAGAAAGUAGCAUUUAUACAUUUUAGUACCUAAAUGUACGAAUUACAAAACAAUUUUCUUGUCCCUGAUUCAUACUGCCAAGGUCUACCUGUAUCCCAAUUUUAAGAGCUGUAGUUCAAUCCGUGAAGUAAAUACAAUAUUGUACGUUUUAGUACGCAUAAGAGCUCUUACUCAAUCUGUAAAGAAAGUACCAAAUAGUACCAAUUACAGCACUUUAAGUACGCUUUCGGUACGAUCACAACAUUUUUUUAUUUGGCGCAACUUGUCGCAUUUUUGUGAAGAUAACAAUCAUUUUUCUAUCAAUCAAGUUCUAGCUGUCGCCGUUCGCUGUAGACGAAGAUGAGCUAUUUCGUACUAGUUCGCACUUUUUGGAUCCUAAAUAAACCAAUUUUAAAAAAAAAUAA